This 207-nucleotide ribosomal RNA is filed under the name uncultured bacterium. Its description in RNAcentral is "partial 16S ribosomal RNA". It matches the Rfam family "Bacterial small subunit ribosomal RNA", at positions 568 to 774 of the family's 1533-position model. The record is from RNAcentral.
UCCGUAGGCGGGCCUGUAAGUCAGUGGUGAAAUCUCAUAGCUUAACUAUGAAACUGCCAUUGAUACUGCAGGCCUUGAGUAAAUUUGAAGUGGCUGGAAUAAGUAGUGUAGCGGUGAAAUGCAUAGAUAUUACUUAGAACACCGAUUGCGAAGGCAGGUCACUAAGAUUUAACUGACGCUGAUGGACGAAAGCGUGGGGAGCGAACA